This 31-nucleotide non-coding RNA is filed under the name Mus musculus (house mouse). The record is from RNAcentral. Lineage: Eukaryota; Metazoa; Chordata; Mammalia; Rodentia; Muridae.
UGGGUACUGCAUGAAUGAUGAAGUACAAGGU